GACGAACGCUGGCGGCGUGCUUAACACAUGCAAGUCGAACGGAAAGGCCGUGCUUUUGUGGUGUGCUCGAGUGGCGAACGGGUGAGUAACACGUGAGUAACCGGCCCUAGUCUUUGGGAUAACUUCAGGAAACUGGGGCUAAUACCGGACAGGAGCUGCUGCUGCAUGGUGGGGGGUGGAAAGUUUCGGCGGGUGGGGAUGGACUCGCGGCUUAUAAGCUUGUUGGUAGGGUAGUGGCUUACCAAGGAUUUGACGGGUAGCCGGCCUGGGAGUGUGACCGGGUCCAUGGGAGCAGGGAUACGGCCCAGACUCCAACGGGAGGCAGCGGUGGGAACGAUUGCAAACUGUGCGGACGCGGGACGCAGCACCGCCGCGUGCGGAAUGCCGCCAGUCGGGUUGUAAACCGCUUACGCCUGUACCGAAGCGUGAGGAACGGUACUGGCGAAUGAAGCACCGGCUACCUACGU
This 467-nucleotide ribosomal RNA is filed under the name uncultured bacterium. RNAcentral's name for it is "partial 16S ribosomal RNA". It matches the Rfam family "Bacterial small subunit ribosomal RNA", at positions 28 to 506 of the family's 1533-position model. The record is from RNAcentral.